CCUACGGGAGGCAGCAGUAGGGAAUCUUCCGAAAUAGGCGCAAGCCUGAUGGAGCAACGCCGCGUGAGUGAACACGGCCUUCGGGUUGUAAAGAUGUGUGUGUCGGGACGAGGACCCGGGCUCAAUCCCGGGGGGGCCGGUACCGGCGGAGGAAGCCCCUGCUAAUUACGUUCCAGCAGCGGCGGUAAGAUGUAGGGGGCAAGCGUUGUCUGGAAUUACUGGGCGUAAAGGGCGUGUAGGCGUUUCGGCAAGUAGCGGUUUUCAGCCGCCGGCUCACCCGGCGGAGGGCGUCUAAACGUCCGAGCUGGAGGUCAGGAGAGGUGCACGGAAUUCCUAGGUGGACCGAGUGAAAGUGCGUAGAGAUCAGGAAGAACACCCGUGGCGAAGGCGGUGCACUGGCCUGGCCCUGACGCUGAGGCGCGACAGCGUGGGGAGCGAACGGGAUUAGAUACCCCGGUAGUCCACGCUGUAAACGAUGGAUACUAGGUGUCGCGGGGGUCCACCAGCCGGUGCCGGAGCUAAGCGCACUAAGUUCCCUGCCUG
This 543-nucleotide ribosomal RNA is filed under the name uncultured Bacillota bacterium. RNAcentral describes it as "bacterial SSU rRNA". It matches the Rfam family "Bacterial small subunit ribosomal RNA", at positions 338 to 875 of the family's 1533-position model. Lineage: Bacteria; Bacillati; Bacillota. The record is from RNAcentral.